GGCACCUCCCUCAGAACCUGACCUGGGUCCUGACGACCCCGGUCAUUGCUGCUGCCCCUGCUCCUGCCCCUAGAACUUACCUGUUCCCCCAUGACUAUGGCCUUCGAGGACGUGGCCACGUACUUGACCUCUGGGAGUGGGGGUGGAUGAACCAGGAGAACUGCAGGAACGCGACCUGCCCUGAUGCCAUCUGUCACGGACCUGAGAGUCAUUUCUUUGAAACGCAUUCAUUCGCCAGGAAAGACAGGCCUUCUGUCUUCCUGCUCCGUGGGAUAGACCACUGACUUCUGUAUCUCACGGCGAGCAGACAGACACACCUGGCCUAAUCACAUCUACAUGGACUGGCUUUUUGUGAUUUUUCUCUUCUCUGAUUCUACUGAACCCGGUUCUCUCACUCCCUCAUUCUCCCUUUUCCCAAACGCCCAAACUAGGUGGCGCUCAGCUCUUCCCCCUGGUAAAAGUAGCUAUUGAAUAAAAUCUUUCCGCCGCUUUAA
This is a long non-coding RNA of Artibeus jamaicensis (Jamaican fruit-eating bat), 494 nucleotides long. RefSeq lists it as uncharacterized. The record is from RefSeq and is a predicted model, not a curated record. NCBI's taxonomy places the organism in Eukaryota, Metazoa, Chordata, Mammalia, Chiroptera, Phyllostomidae. The transcript has 2 exons.